RNAcentral lists this long non-coding RNA (4172 nucleotides) under Lotus japonicus. Its description in RNAcentral is "long non-coding RNA (LJAP_LNC001534)". Lineage: Eukaryota; Viridiplantae; Streptophyta; Magnoliopsida; Fabales; Fabaceae. The record is from RNAcentral.
CUGCUCAAUGAUACCAUGAAGGAAAUCAAUUCCGUGACUGUUAUUGAUAAUGAAAUACCCUAUAUAUACAACUUACCUAGUUGACUAACAAUAAAUAUGAAACCUUAAUUAUAGGCGUAAUUACAAAGAGAAUAAAUAAUAUCCUAUUCUAUCAUUAUCAAGUGCUUAUCAUCAUGCCAUAGUCACACUCUUUUAUUUAUUUAUUUUAUUUCUUGCAUGUGCACAACGCUAAGCCUUUAGAAGAUGAGCAUCAACAUCCUUUGCAGCCUCAGUUACAAAGUCCAAGUAUCCAUAUGGUGGUGUAAUAUCUUCACUGAGCUUCUCAUACUCCAAAGUCAAUUUAAGAACGCCACCAGCAUUCUCCACAUCAAUCACUUGUAGGGUGAACUUGAAGGUCUUAUAUUUCUUACUUACCUCGCCAUCGAAUACAUUGAAUGUUAUUAACUUACUCUGCUCAUCAAUAACUUCAAUGUUCUCCUUACAUGUUUCUACUUUACCAUCUGCAGUUUCACAAGCAUUUAGUAUAUAUAUAUAAAAUACUAUAAAAAUAAUAGAUCAUGAGAAAUAUACUGACACGCUUAGAUUUAUAUAAAUUUAAUUCAUUAUGAUAUUUCGACAUACAAACAGUCUAAACAUCAAAUUUUCUAUCUAUUUCUUCUAUUCAUAUGUCAUAGUUAUGACUUCUUUUCUCUUAAUUUCUCACUUUGGGUGUUAUUUCAAUAUUGGCUAUGCGGAUGUAGUGCAUACGUUAAGACACCCAAAGUGAGAAUUAAAGGAAGAGAAUAGAGACAAGUAAUUAAUGUGAUACAAGAUAGAAAAAAUAGAUAGAAAGAAAAAUGAGGUGAUUAAGUGUUUGUUGGAUGUCUACAUAAAAUAAAUAGUAGCGCGAGUACAUACCGAUAGUAAUAGUCCAGAUCUUAACAGAACCAAUGUCAUGCCAGUCACCUUCAUGAACCUUUGUCUCAUGCACCCUUUGAGCAACGUUUUGAACACUGUGGAGUUGGGUGGUGUAAACUUUGAAGAACUUGUCAGAAGGACUUUGAAUACCAAAUUCAUGGACAACUUUACCUGUUAAAACCAUCUUUUAACAAAGAGAAGAGAUGAAGUAGUAAGUGAUCAUGGAACCUUAUUGGACAUUUAAAUAGACAAUAGCUUACUUAGUGUACCCCACAUGAACAACAUUUUUUUGUACAAAAUAAAUGUUUGGUAAUAUUGGAGUUUAGAUAGAGAAGCUUAGGUUAGGUUUGAUCGUGAACAGCUGUUGGGAUUCAAUUCUUCCAAGUUCCAAUCAUUCAACAAUAUUGAUUACAUAUCCUGCUAACUGGUAUUAAUUGAAAAUUUAGAAAUAGACCUUGAAUUGAUGAAAAUUUACAUGGCGCACGCAGAGCCACUUGAUCAUGCCUUAGUUAAGCUAGUAUAUGUGAAGAGUGAUGCUACAUAAUCAUCCACCACGAAUUAAACGAGAGAGUUAUUUCAACAUCACAUCACUCCUAACAAUCAUACAUAGUGGGCUCCAGUGUUUAAUAAGUAAUAAUUUUUGAAAUUUUCCAAUGAAAGCAAGGCAAUACAGAGGGCUAUGAAUUCGUUUUGAUUCAUCUACCAUUUCACAUAUGUGAUAGAAGUGUUGUAGCACAUGAAAUGAAAGCAGGUACUCCUACUCUGCGAGUUUAGAGGGGUAUUCUAUUUUUUUUGUUAGUUUUUGUUUUUAGGGUUGAGACUUGAGUAAAACUAGUAAAAUUGAUAUCUGGAUAGAAUUCGAAGAGGGAGACAGAUUGAAAGUGAUUGAAAACAUUGAUUUAUAAUUAUUAAUGACCAGACUUAAAAGGAAGAUAUUGUAGAACUGGCUUAUGGCACGUUUUUCACGUGGGUUUUUUUGUUACAAUUUUUUUUUGGUGGUAUUCAAAGUUGGAAAUAGAGAGUAACAGAUAAAAAAAAUAGGAUAAGCUAUAUUUACUACGUAACUUAACAGAAAUCACACUAUCAGAGUAGAGUAAGAGAAAGUGUUUGGCGGCUGAAUUUUUUUGUAUUUUCCUUAUUUUUUCUGCAUUUCAUACACAAUUACGUAUAGCAUGAAGAGUGACUGGUACAAAAUUAACAAAGAGUCACCACUAGUUGCUUAAUGCUUACUUUUUCACUCCAGUAAGCACUAAAUGUUUCUACUAAACAUAACCACACAUAUAAUUCUCUACUAAUAGCCGUUAUACUCCUCUAAGUAUUAAUUCAGCACAUUACUCAACAUACUUUCUCUUAAUGUACGUGUUGUUUUUGAACUCUCAUUACUUCUCUAAGUUGCUGAAAUCUUUCACUCGAUAAUGCUUUAGUGAAAAUAUCGGCUAGUUGCUCUUGUGAAUUGCAGAAAACCAAAUGCACAUCUUCUUCAAAUAUUACAGUUCGAAUGAAGUGAUGCUUCACGUUAAUAUGUUAGGUUAGACGAUGUAAACAAGACUCUUGGCCAUGAGGAUGACUGAUUUGUAGUUACAAUGAAGCUGGAGACUUUCCUUGCUUCUUUCCAAUAUCUUCUAAUAUUCUUCUCAACCAAAGUGUUCGCUCCUAUUAAAAUAUUCAACUUCAGGUGAAGAUUGCGGCGCCGUUGUGUCAUGCUUCUUUGAGCACCAUGAAAUCACACUCGAAUCAAGGUUGAACAUUGAUGACCCGAGUUCAAGGCUAUUUUUAGUUAUUUCGCAUAUAGUUUCAUUAAUUAAUUCGAGUAUUUAUGUCAUUUUUAAUGCAUGUAGGUCUCGUAUAAUGCAUUUUUAUAUUAAUUUGCUGAGGCUGUAGCUCGUUCGGGUCUGGCUUUCGAUGGGUUCGGUGGUGGUUGGCGUGUUCACGGGUCUCCGCCGAGAAGUGACAGCGGUGGUUCUCUAAGUGUAUGUGCGGCGGUAGAUCUGGACGGCUUGUUCUUGGGUGCGUGGCGGUGGUCUUCUCGUUUUUUCAUGGUUUGCGUGUUCUUCUCUUCAUCAAUGCCUCCUCCCUUCUUGAUGCUUCCUGCGACGUGUUUUUGGGUUUGUUUAGGACUGGAGCUUUUGAAGUGUUGAAUGUCGUUUCUUCUCCUCCGCCUUUCUGCAACUUUGGUGUCAGCGGCAGAUCUGGUGCUUCUUCCAACUCUAUUCACGAUGAGUUGCUGGGUGGAUUUAUGGCCGAAGCCACUGUAUAGCCAGUAUGCCGCUAUUCGUUGUCAUAGAACUUUUUUGGUUGUCAUUGCUUAUAAAACCUAAAUUGAUCUGAAAAGGCACAUGUGUCUUGGGUGUUUACAAUAAGACAAAUGCCCUGGGUCUUCACCUUAUAGAUUUAUCAUCAUUACCAUAGCAACUUCAUAUUUAUGAUGAUGUCAUCGAUCAACUUAAUUAAUUUAAUUAACAAUGUAAUGAAAUAGAAAUUUCUGUUGGUAUAUUCAUGUUUAACUUUGAUCUCAAAAUCACAAAAUUUUAAUAUUGAGAAUUUUUUUCCUGUCAAGUGAGGAUUAUAAGACUAAUCAAACUUUAAAUCAUAUAACAAUGUAUUAAUAAGAAUAAGGAUUAUUUUGAAAUGAAAAAAAUUGACCAAAACUUUUCAUUUGCUUAAACAGAAGCAUGAUGCAUACCUAUGGUACUAGUACUACGGUUGAAAUUCAAUAAAUUUAUUAUAUGUUAAAUAUUUUAAAAAUGCUUCAAGUGAGAAUUAGGCUAAUCAAACUUAAAAUCAUAUGAAUAUAUUGACAAGAAUGGAUUCGCUUACAAUACAUUGAUUGACUUCUUCUCUAAUUCACUCAGUACAAGGAAAUGAUCAGCAGAGGAAGAAGAAUAAAACUUUAUUCUUUAGUAAUCAUAGUUCACACCAAUAUUUUAGAUAAUGUUAUCAUUGUCAAGAGCUUAUCAUCAUGCCAUAGUCACACUCUUUUAUUUAUCUAUUUUAUUUAUUGUGCACAACGCUAAGCCUUUAGAAGAUGAGCAUCAAGAAUUCAAGAUCCUUUGCAGUCUCAGUUACAAAGUCCAAGUAUCCAUAUGGUGGUGAGCUUCUCAUACUCCAAAGUCCAUUUAACAACGCCACCAGCAUUCUCCACAUCAAUCACUUGUAGGGUGAUCUUGAAGGUCUUAUAUUUCUUACUUAUCUCGCCAUCGAAUACGUUGAAUGUUAUUAACUUACUCUGCUCAUCAAUAACUUCAAUGUUCUCCUUACAUGUUUCUACUUUUCCA